RNAcentral lists this ribosomal RNA (966 nucleotides) under Flavobacterium johnsoniae. RNAcentral's name for it is "bacterial SSU rRNA". It matches the Rfam family "Bacterial small subunit ribosomal RNA", at positions 60 to 1033 of the family's 1533-position model. Lineage: Bacteria; Pseudomonadati; Bacteroidota; Flavobacteriia; Flavobacteriales; Flavobacteriaceae. The record is from RNAcentral.
AGUCGAGGGGUAGGGCACUUCGGUGCUUGAGACCGGCGCACGGGUGCGUAACGCGUAUGCAAUCUGCCUUCCACAGAGGGAUAGCCCAGAGAAAUUUGGAUUAAUACCUCAUAGCAUCAUGACCCGGCAUCGGGAUAUGAUUAAAGUCACAACGGUGGAAGAUGAGCAUGCGUCCCAUUAGCUAGUUGGUAAGGUAACGGCUUACCAAGGCUACGAUGGGUAGGGGUCCUGAGAGGGAGAUCCCCCACACUGGUACUGAGACACGGACCAGACUCCUACGGGAGGCAGCAGUGAGGAAUAUUGGUCAAUGGGCGCAAGCCUGAACCAGCCAUGCCGCGUGCAGGAUGACGGUCCUAUGGAUUGUAAACUGCUUUUGUACGGGAAGAAACCCUCCUACGUGUAGGAGCUUGACGGUACCGUAAGAAUAAGGAUCGGCUAACUCCGUGCCAGCAGCCGCGGUAAUACGGAGGAUCCAAGCGUUAUCCGGAAUCAUUGGGUUUAAAGGGUCUGUAGGCGGUCUUGUAAGUCAGUGGUGAAAGCCCAUCGCUCAACGGUGGAACGGCCAUUGAUACUGCUGGACUUGAAUUAUUGGGAAGCAACUAGAAUAUGUAGUGUAGCGGUGAAAUGCUUAGAGAUUACAUGGAAUACCAAUUGCGAAGGCAGGUUGCUACCAAUGGAUUGACGCUGAUGGACGAAAGCGUGGGUAGCGAACAGGAUUAGAUACCCUGGUAGUCCACGCCGUAAACGAUGGAUACUAGCUGUUGGGCGCAAGUUCAGUGGCUAAGCGAAAGUGAUAAGUAUCCCACCUGGGGAGUACGAACGCAAGUUUGAAACUCAAAGGAAUUGACGGGGGCCCGCACAAGCGGUGGAGCAUGUGGUUUAAUUUCGAUGAUACGCGAGGAACCUUACCAAAGGCUUAAAUGCAGACUGACCGGUUUGGAAACAGACCUUUCGCAGACGGUCUAC